Molecule: ribosomal RNA, 429 nt
Filed under: Pseudomonadota bacterium
Lineage: Bacteria; Pseudomonadati; Pseudomonadota
Description: Proteobacteria bacterium partial 16S ribosomal RNA
Rfam family: Bacterial small subunit ribosomal RNA
Source: RNAcentral
UUGGUAAUAUUGGACAAUGGGCGAAAGCCUGAUCCAGCCAUGCCGCGUGAGUGAAGAAGUUCUUCGGAUUGUAAAGCACUUUAAGAAGGGAGGAAGGGCAGUAAGCGAAUACCUUGCUGUUUUGACGUUACCGACAGAAUAAGCACCGGCUAACUCUGUGCCAGCAGCCGCGGUAAUACAGAGGGUGCAAGCGUUAAUCGGAAUUACUGGGCGUAAAGCGCGCGUAGGUUGUUCGUUAAGUUGAAUGUGAAAGCCCCGGGCUCAACCUAGGAACUGCAUCCAAAACUGGCGAGCUAGAGGAGUGCAGAGGGUGGUGGAAUUUCCUGUGUAGCGGUGAAAUGCGUAGAUAUAGGAAGGGACACCAGUGGCGAAGGCGACCACCUGGGCUCAUACUGACACUGAGGUGCGAAAGCGUGGGGAGCAAACAGG